GUUACUUGAAAUAGCUUUCUUGAUAGCUGAUAUACAACCCCAGUGAAAAGAUGAGACGGAUAAAUAGAAAGAUUUGUUCUUUCAACUGGGAAGGGGGAUAAUGAGACCUUCUGAGGUGUGUGGUGGUCGGAGGAGAGACUCAGUAAUGAGCUCUAUGAAUCACACUGGGUGCUUUUCUGCCCUCCCUGGAGUUUGAAAUGUGUUUCCCACCAGAAAAAUGGAGAUUCUUAAUAAAGCUGGAAAAAUGAUUUCAAGAUUUUGAAGACUUGAAGGAAUUAUUGAUGAGUUUCCAUCUUCCUGGUAUCUAGUCUCUGAAACCAGAAGAAGCUUCAAGAAGCAGCAAAAGGAAACAACCACCAAAACAAACAAAUCAGCCAAACACAGAACCCUCCACAGAA
This is a long non-coding RNA of Orcinus orca (killer whale), 398 nucleotides long. RefSeq lists it as uncharacterized. Lineage: Eukaryota; Metazoa; Chordata; Mammalia; Artiodactyla; Delphinidae. The transcript has 3 exons. The record is from RefSeq and is a predicted model, not a curated record.